GGUGAACGCUGGCGGCGUGCCUAAGACAUGCAAGUCGUGCGGUCCAUGGGGUUUUACUCCGUGGUCAGCGGCGGCCGGGUGAGUAACGCGUGGCUGACCUACCCUGAAUAGGCGGACAACCUGGGGAAACCCAGGCUAAUCCGCCAUGUGGUCCUGUCCUGUUGGGUAGGACUAAAGGGUGAAUAGCCCUCUUCCGGAUGGGACCGCGUCACAUCAGCUAGUUGGUGGGGUAAAGAACCACCAAAGCGACGUCGGGUAGGCGGUCUGGGAGGAUGGCCGGGCACAGGGGAACCGAGACACGGGCCUCACGCCGACAGGAGGCAGCAGUAAGGAACAUUGCGUAAUGGCCGGAAGUCUGACGGCGGGACGCCGCUUGGAGGAGGAAGGCGUUCGGGGUGUAAACUGCUGAACUGGAGACGAAAGCCCCGGAGAGGGGGAUGACGGUACCCAGGUAAUAGCGCCGGCCAACUCCGUG
RNAcentral lists this ribosomal RNA (475 nucleotides) under uncultured bacterium. RNAcentral's name for it is "partial 16S ribosomal RNA". It matches the Rfam family "Bacterial small subunit ribosomal RNA", at positions 28 to 507 of the family's 1533-position model. The record is from RNAcentral.